GAUGAACGCUGGCGGCGUGCCUAAUACAUGCAAGUCGAGCGAACAGACGAGGAGCUUGCUCCUCUGACGUUAGCGGCGGACGGGUGAGUAAAACGUGGAUAACCUACCUAUAAGACUGGGAUAACUUCGGGAAACCGGAACUAUUACCGGAUUAUAUAUUGAACCGCAUGGUUCAAUAGUGAAAGACGGUUUUGCUGUCACUUAUAGAUGGAUCCGCGCCGCAUUAGCUAGUUGGUAAGGUAACGGCUUACCAAGGCAACGAUGAGUAGCCGACCUGAGAGGGUGAUAGGCCACACUGGAACUGAGACACGGUCCAGACUCCUACGGGAGGCAGCAGUAGGGAAUCUUCCGCAAUGGGCGAAAGCCUGACGGAGCAACGACGCGUGAGUGAUGAAGGUCUUCGGAUCGUAAAACUCUGUUAUUAGGGAAGAACAAAUGUGUAAGUAACUAUGCACGUCUUGACGGUACCUAAUCAGAAAGCCACGGCUAACUACGUG
Molecule: ribosomal RNA, 497 nt
Filed under: uncultured bacterium
Lineage: Bacteria
Description: partial 16S ribosomal RNA
Rfam family: Bacterial small subunit ribosomal RNA
Source: RNAcentral